AAAUCGAUUCUUCAGGCCGUUCAACAAUAACAUCUGCUACUUUAUUUACGUGGACAGCAUCUAUUACGAUAAAAUCCGUAAAAGCAGCCGUUAUCAAAAGCACAUUCUCCACUGACGAUUGGAUAAGAAUCCCCAAAUUGU
Bradysia coprophila is the source of this 141-nucleotide long non-coding RNA. Lineage: Eukaryota; Metazoa; Arthropoda; Insecta; Diptera; Sciaridae. The record is from RefSeq and is a predicted model, not a curated record.